RNAcentral lists this ribosomal RNA (472 nucleotides) under uncultured Chytridiales. RNAcentral describes it as "bacterial SSU rRNA". It matches the Rfam family "Eukaryotic small subunit ribosomal RNA", at positions 607 to 1085 of the family's 1831-position model. The record is from RNAcentral. Lineage: Eukaryota; Fungi; Chytridiomycota; Chytridiomycetes; Chytridiales.
GCAUUUUGCUGUAGUUGAAAGCUCGUAGUCAAGCUUUUGACCCAUCUGGCUGGUCUCGCCGCAAGGUGAGCACUGGUUCAGUGUGGUCUUUUUUUCUGCGGACCCAUGGUGCUCUUAACUGGGCGCUGUGGUGAAGUAGGACUUUUACUUUGAAGAAAUUAGAGUGUUCAAAGCAGGCUUCGGCUUGAAUAGGUUAGCAUGGAAUAAUAGAAUAGGACCUCGGUUCUAUUUUGUUGGUUUCUAGAACCCUGGUAAUGAUGAAUAGAGACAGUUGGGGGCAUUAGUAUUUGAUCGCUAGAGGUGAAAUUCUUGGAUUGAGCAAAGACUGACUUCUGCGAAAGCAUUUGCCAAAGAUGUUUUCAUUGAUCAAGAACGAAAGUAAGGGGAUCGAAGACGAUUAGAUACCGUCGUAGUCUUUACCAUAAACUAUGCCAACUAGGGAUCGGAGGGCGUUAUAAUGACCCCUUCGGCA